UGGAGGAAGGUGGGGAGAGGUGGGACGAGGUGGAGGAAGGUGGGGAGAGGUGGGACGAGGUGGAGGAAGGUGGGGAGAGGUGGGACGAGAUGGAGGAAGGUGGGGAGAGGUGGGACAAGGUGGAGGAAGGUGGAGAGAGGUGGGACGAGGUGGAGGAAGGUGGGGAGAGGUGGAGGAAGGUGGGGAGAGGUGGAGGAAGGUGGGGAGAGGUGGAGGAAGGUGGGGAGAGGUGGAGGAAGGUGGGGAGAGGUGGAGGAAGGUGGGGAGAGGUGGAGGAAGGUGGGGAGAGGUGGAGGAAGGUGGGGAGAGGUGGAGGAAGGUGGGGAGAGGUGGAGGAAGGUGGGGAGAGGUGGAGGAAGGUGGGGAGAGGUGGGACGAGAUGGAGGAAGGUGGGGAGAGGUGGGACGAGAUGGAGGAAGAUGGGGAGAGGUGGGACAAGGUGGAGGAAGGUGGGGAGACGUGAGACGGGGCGGAGGGAGGUGGGGAGAGGUGGGACGAAGUAGGGGGAAGGAAAGGUUGCCUGGUAGGGCCGGACGCUGCCUGCCAGGCCUGCUGGGCCCGAGGGCGAGGCGGAGGCCAGGGGCUGGCGGGAGCAGGCGGGGAGCUGGCUGCUGCAGGGGCCAGGCGGAGCCGGGGUGCGCGCCCAGAAGGUCCUUCCCCGCUUGCUUCCAGCUUGGGAGAGACCGCCCAGAGCAACUCCAGGGAGCGCAGCCUGGUCUCCCGCGCAGCUUGCGUUUAUCUAACCCUGACGCCGGCGGUGGGGUGUGUGUGUGUGGGGCCGGCGCAGCGCUUCCGGGGAAACCAGGCGCACGCGCACGCGCAGGCGCAGGCGCAGACGCACGCGCAGGCGCAGACGCAGGCGCACGCGCAGACGCACGCCAGGAGUGGAAGCCCCCGCACAGCGAAGCUUCCGCCCGGCGGCGGAGGCCCGGGGUUGGUGAAGCGUCGAGGCGGCCGCGACUGAUGAUUCGGCCUCUCCCUCCGCUGCUUGGGCCGGCUCCUUAA
Molecule: long non-coding RNA, 1005 nt
Filed under: Vulpes vulpes (red fox)
Lineage: Eukaryota; Metazoa; Chordata; Mammalia; Carnivora; Canidae
Description: lncRNA (ENSVVUG00000020029.1)
Source: RNAcentral